CCGUGGCGGGCGCAGCGUUUGGGCGUGAAGCAGCGCUGCGUGUUGUUGUGAAGGUCUCCGAUGUAGUAAUGAAGAGUUGCCGACAGAACGUCCUCAGACUGGGUGAGGGAGGGUUCGGUUUUUUGGAGGCUUGUCUGGGAUUGAGUGAGCAGUCUGUGAUCUUGGUAGAAUAAAAAAAGCUGGAGGAUGUGAAGUGGAGCCACAGCUGGACUCAUAAAUCUAACAAAUGACAAGGUUUUCCAACUCAGUUUUCCAGUUUUCAUGCAGAACGUUGAGAACAUCUAGCUUCUUUGACACAGACCUUUCAUCUCCAUUACUGUGCUGCACAACCGAAAGUCAGCAGUUUCCCCCAUGAUUGAGUGGACAAUAAGAUAUUUCUGUGUAAAAUCUGUUUAUUAUUCUCAUGUAUUGUAAUUUUCUGAGAAAUUUAAUGCUGUAUUUUCCAAAAGCUCUAACCCAAAAUCUUAAAAAUGAAUCUAAAUAAAUGCU
Long non-coding RNA from Poeciliopsis prolifica (blackstripe livebearer), 489 nucleotides. RefSeq lists it as uncharacterized. Lineage: Eukaryota; Metazoa; Chordata; Actinopteri; Cyprinodontiformes; Poeciliidae. The record is from RefSeq and is a predicted model, not a curated record. The transcript is spliced from 3 exons.